CCUACGGGAGGCAGCAGUAGGGAAUAUUGCUCAAUGGGGGAAACCCUGAAGCAGCAACGCCGCGUGGAGGAUGAAGCCUUUCGGAUUGUAAACUCCUUUUGUUAGAGAAGAUAAUGACGGUAUCUUACGAAUAAGCACCUGCUAACUCCGUGCCAGCAGCCGCGGUAAUACGGAGGGUGCAAGCGUUACCCGGAUUCACUGGGCGUAAAGAGCGCGUAGGCGGGGUAGUAAGUCAGAGGUGAAAUCCUAUGGCUUAACCAUAGAACUGCAGUUGAAACUGUUACGCUAGAGUAUGGGAGAGGUAGGAGGAAUUCGUGGUGUAGGGGUAAAAUCCGUAGAGAUCAAGAGGAAUACUCAUUGCGAAGGCGACCUGCUAGAACAUGACUGACGCUGAUGCGCGAAAGCGUGGGGAGCGAACAGGAUUAGAUACCCGUGUAGUC
This 440-nucleotide ribosomal RNA is filed under the name uncultured bacterium. Its description in RNAcentral is "partial 16S ribosomal RNA". It matches the Rfam family "Bacterial small subunit ribosomal RNA", at positions 338 to 795 of the family's 1533-position model. The record is from RNAcentral.